CACUGAGAAGCUACAUUCAGCACUAGCCUUUUAAGCUAGAGAGGGGAAACAGUUUCCCUCAGUGA
This is a non-coding RNA of Lacerta agilis (Sand lizard), 65 nucleotides long. NCBI's taxonomy places the organism in Eukaryota, Metazoa, Chordata, Lepidosauria, Squamata, Lacertidae. The record is from the annotation of a RefSeq genome assembly.